This 1562-nucleotide ribosomal RNA is filed under the name uncultured bacterium. Its description in RNAcentral is "bacterial SSU rRNA". It matches the Rfam family "Bacterial small subunit ribosomal RNA". The record is from RNAcentral.
AGAGUUUGAUCCUGGCUCAGAACGAACGCUGGCAGCGUGGAUGAGGCAUGCAAGUCGAGCGGGAUCCCCGGUGUAGCAAUACAUCGGGGUGAGAGCGGCGGAAGGGCGAGGAACGCGCGGGUAAUCUGCCUCCGAGAUGGGGAUAACCUGCCGAAAGGCGGGCUAAUACCGAAUAUGAUGGUCCGGCGCAUGCUGGAUUGAUCGAAGAUGGGGACCCUUCAGGGCCUGUCGCUGGGAGAGGAACCCGCGUCCUAUCAGCUAGUUGGCGAGGUAACGGCUCACCAAGGCGAUGACGGGUAGCUGGUCUGAGAGGAUGGUCAGCCGCACUGGGACUGAGACACUGCCCAGACUCCUACGGGAGGCUGCAGUCGAGGAUCUUUUGCAAUGCACGAAAGUGUGACAAAGCGACGCUGCGUGGAGGAUGAAGGCCUUCGGGUUGUAAACUCCUGUCGUCUGGGAACAAUGACGGGCGGGUGAAUAUCCCGUCUGAGUGAGAGUACCGGAAGAGGAAGCCACGGCAAACUCUGUGCCAGCAGCCGCGGUAAUACAGAGGUGGCGAGCGUUGUUCGGAUUUACUGGGCGUAAAGGGUGCGUAGGCGGUUCCGUGUGUCGAACGUGAAAUCCCACUGCUCAACGGUGGAAUGGCGUUCGAAACUACGGAGCUAGAGUGCAGGCAGGGAGAGCGGAAUUCCUGGUGUAGCGGUGAAAUGCGUUGAGAUCAGGAAGAACACCGGUGGCGAAGGCGGCUCUCUGGUAUGCAACUGACGCUGAGGCACGAAAGCUGGGGGAGCAAACAGGAUUAGAUACCCUGGUAGUCCCAGCCCUAAACGGUGUGCACUUGGUGUUGGCGGAAUUGACCCCGCCAGUGCCGGAGCGAACGCGUUAAGUGCACCGCCUGGGGAGUACGGCCGCAAGGUUAAAACUCAAAGAAAUUGACGGGGGCCCGCACAAGCGGAGGAGCAUGUGGCUCAAUUCGAUGCAACGCGAAGAACCUUACCAGGGCUUGACUACCAGCUGCAGGCCCGCUGAAAGGCGGGCGGCCUUCGAGGGUGCUGGAACAGGUGCUGCAUGGCUGUCGUCAGUUCGUGCCGUGAGGUGUUGGGUUAAGUCCCGCAACGAACGCAACCCCUAUGUCUAGUUGCUACCGAUGCGAUAAGUUUCGGGCACUCUAGACAGACUGCCUGUACAAGCAGGAGGAAGGUGGGGAUGACGUCAAGUCAGUAUGGCCCUUACGUCCUGGGCUGCACACGUGCUACAAUGACCGGUACAGAGGGAUGCAAGACCGCGAGGUGGAGCGAAUCCCCAAAACCGGCCUCAGUUCAGAUUGAAGGCUGCAACUCGCCUUCAUGAAGUCGGAUUCGCUAGUAACGGCGUAUCAGCUACGGCGCCGUGAAUACGUUCCCGGGCCUUGUACACACCGCCCGUCACAUCAUGAAAGCCGUCUGCACCCGAAGUCGCCGAGUCAACCCGCAAGGGAGACAGGUGCCGAAGGUGUGGGUGGUGAUUGGGAUGAAGUCGUAACAAGGUAGCCGUAGGGGAACCUGCGGUUGGAUCACCUCCUU